Molecule: ribosomal RNA, 468 nt
Filed under: uncultured bacterium
Lineage: Bacteria
Description: partial 16S ribosomal RNA
Rfam family: Bacterial small subunit ribosomal RNA
Source: RNAcentral
GACGAACGCUGGCGGCGUGCUUAACACAUGCAAGUCGAACGGAAAGGCCCUGCUUUUGUGGGGUGCUCGAGUGGCGAACGGGUGAGUAACACGUGAGUAACCUGCCCUUGACUUUGGGAUAACUUCAGGAAACUGGGGCUAAUACCGGAUAGGAGCUCCUGCUGCAUGGUGGGGGUUGGAAAGUUUCGGCGGUUGGGGAUGGACUCGCGGCUUAUCAGCUUGUUGGUGAGGUAGUGGCUUACCAAGGCUUUGACGGGUAGCCGGCCUGAGAGGGUGGCUGGCCACAUUGGGACUGAGAUACGGCCCAGACUCCUACGGGAGGCAGCAGUGGGGAAUAUUGCACAAUGGGCGGAAGCCUGAUGCAGCAACGCCGCGUGCGGGAUGACGGCCUUCGGGUUGUAAACCGCUUUCGCCUGUGACGAAGCGUGAGUGACGGUAAUGGGUAAAGAAGCACCGGCUAACUACGUG